UGAUGUGAGGCGAUCUGGCUGCGAUUAUCUGUCACCCCAUUGAUCACCAGGGUUGAUUCAGCUGAUCUGGCUGGCUGGGCGGGCAUCCUGUUCCUCCCUCAGCACUCCAUGUGCGUCCCUCCCAAAGCUGUGCAUGCUCCAUCCAAGUGAACGACCUUCAGACAGGACCACCGUCCUUUGGUCAAGUGUAGACGAGUAGCUACACUCCCCGCCUACAACCUCCAAACUAGAGUUACAAUCUUAGAAAACCAGAGGGGCACUUCUGCUCUGUCUUAUAGAGUCUCUAGAAGUCAGAACCAACU
This 302-nucleotide small nuclear RNA is filed under the name Echinops telfairi (small Madagascar hedgehog). RNAcentral describes it as "7SK RNA (ENSETEG00000024184.1)". It matches the Rfam family "7SK RNA". Rfam says of the family: 7SK was discovered as an abundant small nuclear RNA in the mid-70s but a possible function has only recently been suggested. The record is from RNAcentral. Lineage: Eukaryota; Metazoa; Chordata; Mammalia; Afrosoricida; Tenrecidae.